GGGAUGCUGGAGGAUGCAUUACACCCUUCUUGGACAGAGGUUUCAUUCAAGACAGGAGAAGACUAUUUAAUUUUGAGUAGGUGGAUGAAAUGCAAACAACACAGAGAACGUGGAAUCCUCUGAAAGGCAUUGGAUUAAACAUCUUCAUACUAAGAAUAGGACCUCUGAUCUGACUAAACCACAGUAUGGACAGAUUCUUCAGUGGGAUAGCAAAGAUGAACACUGCAAACAGUGGAAAAACAGCUGCUGUUCUCUUCUGAAGUCUCUGGCUUGAUCUGCUUUCCCUUCAAACUGCACUUGUAGAUCCUCCAAUCCCUAGGAAUGCCACAGUUGCU
Long non-coding RNA from Gopherus flavomarginatus (Mexican gopher tortoise), 335 nucleotides. RefSeq lists it as uncharacterized. The transcript has 3 exons. Lineage: Eukaryota; Metazoa; Chordata; Testudines; Testudinidae. The record is from RefSeq and is a predicted model, not a curated record.